Long non-coding RNA from Drosophila miranda, 3040 nucleotides. RefSeq lists it as uncharacterized. Lineage: Eukaryota; Metazoa; Arthropoda; Insecta; Diptera; Drosophilidae. The transcript is spliced from 4 exons. The record is from RefSeq and is a predicted model, not a curated record.
UUUUUGUAUCAUCCCCAACGAGAACUGCGAUCGACCUGCAAAAAGUGUAAAUUUUGUAUAAUUUUGUGUCCCGAAUGUGGGAAAACCCCAUCCGUGGCACGACUCCCACCACCUGCCUGUGCCACCGGCCAUCCCAUCUCUUUAUCAGCAUUCAACCAGCCAGCAGCGUCCUCGCCGGUCGAACAAAACCAGAAAACCGCGGCGAGCUUUUCAUUUCAAUUUGCUGCCAAAAAUGCCCACAGAUGUGGCAGUCGCGGAGGCGGAGGAGGGGGCAUGCAGCCGCUUGGUCGCUCGUUGGCCAAUUUAGUUUUAACGUUGCAGCUGGUGCUGGUGCUGGGUCUGGUGCUCCUUCUGUUAUCAUUCAAUUGCCGCCGCCCUCUGCUGCAAUUUUGAAUGCCAAGUGCAGGCAGUGGAGGUGGGAGCGUGAGGCGGCGGCACGUGAUCGUGGCCGAUAGGGAUUGAGCGACCACUAAACGCUGGGAGGUAUCGGCCCUCCCAUCCCUCUGGGAGGGAGGUACUCAAAAAGUUUAGGGGUAUCAAAGUAAAUGCCUGUAACACCCAGAAGGAGGCGUUUCCGACUCCUCAAAGUAUAUAUUCCUGAUCCACAUUAAUAGCCGAGUCGACCAUGUCUAGCAGAUGGCUAGAAGCAGACCUGAAGCAGAUGGAAUCCAAUAUUGCAGCCAGACUCACUCUUCCCCAUGCUGUGUGGUGUGGCUUUGGUGUGGUGUUGAUGUAAAAAGAGAAAGAAAGGGAAUGAAGUCUCAUUGGAAUGAUGAUCUCUUCAAAAUCAUAUCGCUGAGGAAAAUGGGAACUACCCAAAGCUGAUGCUGAAAUCAAUCUGGUCCGGAAAGAAGGAAGGAAGGAAGGAAUUCCCUAAGGAAAACAAAGGCAAAGGCUUAUAAGAAGGAUACUCCAUAUCUUUCUGUGAGACUUUCCCGGUUUCCCCCUGUAAUUGCUGCCAUCUCUAUGCCCUUCGAGUGCAUUCGAGUUCCGGACUCCGUCAUGGGUUUAAUUGGGCGAGUGCAAUCCUUCCCACUUUCGAGACAGCCACUUGGCUUGGCCUUUGGGCUCCCCUCACCAAAUUAGCUUGACUAACCCCUGGACAAGCAGAUGUUGACUCCCUCCCCCUCCCCUGGGACAUAUUGUCACCUCAAACACAGCAGACGAGGGCGAUGGCGAUGGCUGUUGACAACGGCAACAGCCCGUUGGGCAUUCGUUCCGUCCGGGCGUCAAGUGCAUGACUAUCUGAUUGCAUUCUGUGUGAAUAGUGGUUCGAAAAGCGUUUAAAAACAUUAAACUGCGUCCGGUUACGUGCCUGGAAUUUCGAGCUCCAACAGAAAGGAGCAGAGGGAGCACAAGGAGGGGUAUCGUAUCAGCUGAAUGGCCUAAUCCUAACAAAGGAGGAGGAGGAGGAGGAGGAGGAGGAGGGGUGUGCGUAUACCGCUCCACAUGCAUACCAAAUUGGUUUAAUUCAAUAACAUUUUCAAACAAACUUGUUUCAGAGGCCACAUCGCUUAUGAGUCAGCGUUUUAAAUUGCUUUCGUUGGAGCCCUGCUCCACGCCGCGAGCCAUUUUCAGUUAUGUUGCUCAAAAGUCUGGAAAGUAAUUCUAUUAAAAACAACAAAAAUAAUGCAAGAAAAUAACUACGCUCCCGACUAAAAGAACUAACUACAUCAGCGGCCACGACGAUGGGUGGCAGUGAGGAGGGGGAGAGGCGGGGCCCGGAACGUGAGCUCGAUAACAUUUUAGCUGGAUAAACAAAUUUCUUUGGCGAGUGAGCAAGAGCAAAGCAAAUAUGAAAUUCCAUUAAUUUGAUGGAUGCUUCAGGCAGAACCAAGAACCGGCAACCGGCAACCGGUAUGGAAAUAUGUGAUAGGACUUCGGCUUCGAGUACAACAUGCACCACGGGACUUAUGAUUAAUGCAAUGUCUGCCGCACAGUCGGUGUCGAGAGGACAACAAUGAAUUAAUUAAUGAAGUGCACACACCCAUGCAACCAAAAGCAGACCCAUAACAAUGCAUUUACAUAUGUAUAUCCCCAGUAACUAUAGUUUUUAUGGUCUUUCUUCAGGUUGUCAAGAUUUCUGUGCCUCUUGAUGGAUGGUGGCUGCAGCCACAACAGAUGUCUCCCUCUGCUAUCUGUUUGGAUCAUUGCCGCACACAGGAUACAUCCAUCGCCUUGAUAGGUUUUCCUACAACCCGGAGGUCAUCAUAUAGGCUAUCAUUAGGCACUAAUGACAUUGCUGUGAUGGUUGUAUCGUACGAAUGGACGCUUUGCUUAAGAAACAAUUAUCGAAGAAGACAUGUAAGCCAAUCGGAUAUCUAUUCAUAUACUUAAUCAGCCUAUAUUUUUUUUCCGGUCGUGAUAAUUGGAACCCAACAUAAGGAAAGGAACGAAGAACUUGUAGGCAUCACUUCACCUUGUCCUUUCCAUCUAAAACGGAGAGUACAGUGGAUCGCUUUGUCUGAGAAAACACCCGAAAGUGGAGCUGAAGCCGCGCAUGGAACACCGGAAAUGAUCUCCCAUCAAACGUGUCCAGUUUAAAGACAUCGAACUAUCACUCAGGAAAGGUUAUGUGACGCCGCAACGGGCAGAGCACCGGGAAAUGGAGGCUUCUCCUAUUCCAACACAUAGAAGACCCCCCUUUAAGUCCUUUAAGUUUCAAAUUUAAAUCUUUAAACAAUUAAUUCCACACAAAAUUCGUUACGCAUUCCAUAAUGUCCAUGAAAUUCCAUAAUCCAUUCAGCCGUUGGCCCCCACCAUUGCAUCAGGCGGAUAAAAACUUACUUCGCGACGUCUGGAACUAUGGGAAUGCCUUGCCACCCCGCUCCUCCCUCCUCCUCCUCCUCCUGCUCCAAGUGGCAAAAAGUGUAUGCAACAUAAUCUCUCUGUUUGGGCAGGGGGCAAAAGCGAUUUCCAAGUCAUUGGGCAAGCCCAACUAUGCCAUAUAAUCGCAUGAUAUAUGCCUAAUCUCUGCUGGAAACUUCUCUCUGCAAGUGGCAGAAGGGCAAUGUGCAGGUUCGCGCUGGAGGAGAGUCAA